AGUGGCUCAUUCACCCUCUUAUGUCAGCCCCUUCGGGACGCGCUACAUAAACUUCGAAUGACGCACAAAAAGGUGCCUGCCGUCCAACUACUGAUUAUUGCGUAAGCUUUAUCAGGCUCCGGGCGAAACGUCGAGUAAGGCACCGCCUC
Enterobacter sp. 638 is the source of this 149-nucleotide small RNA. It matches the Rfam family "Glm Y RNA activator of glmS mRNA". Rfam says of the family: This family consists of a number of bacterial RNA genes of around 167 bases in length. The function of this RNA is unknown. Lineage: Bacteria; Pseudomonadati; Pseudomonadota; Gammaproteobacteria; Enterobacterales; Enterobacteriaceae. The record is from Rfam.